RNAcentral lists this transfer RNA (72 nucleotides) under Candidatus Rifleibacteriota bacterium. RNAcentral describes it as "tRNA-Lys". It matches the Rfam family "tRNA". Rfam says of the family: Transfer RNA (tRNA) molecules are approximately 80 nucleotides in length. Their secondary structure includes four short double-helical elements and three loops (D, anti-codon, and T loops). RNAcentral also lists the same sequence under 3 other names. Lineage: Bacteria; Candidatus Rifleibacteriota. The record is from RNAcentral.
GGGCCGUUAGCUCAGGGGUAGAGCAUCUGACUUUUAAUCAGAGGGCCGUUGGUUCAAAUCCAACACGGCUCA